AGGCUUUGAUCCUGGCUCAGGACGAACGCUGGCGGCGUGCCUAACACAUGCAAGUCGAGCGAAGCUUUACGGGUAGCUUGCUACCUGUUAAGACUGAGCGGCGAACGGGUGAGCAACACGUGGGUAAUCUGCCUGAAAGACCGGGAUAACAGUUCGAGAGGGCUGCUAAUACCGGAUGAAGUUGGUGAUGUAAUGUCACUGACCAAAGCGUUAUGUAGCGCUUUCAGAUGAGCCCGCGUCCCAUUAGUUAGUUGGUGAGGUAAAGGCUCACCAAGGCGACGAUGGGUAGCCGGUCUGAGAGGAUGGUCGGCCACACUGGAACUGAGACACGGUCCAGACUCCUACGGGAGGCAGCAGUGGGGAAUUUUGCGCAAUGGGGGCAAUCCUGACGCAGCGACGCCGCGUGAGCGAUGAAGGCCUUCGGGUUGUAAAGCUCUGUCUAGGGGGAAGAUAGUGACGGUACCCUCUGGAGGAAGCCCCGGGUAA
RNAcentral lists this ribosomal RNA (486 nucleotides) under uncultured bacterium. RNAcentral's name for it is "bacterial SSU rRNA". It matches the Rfam family "Bacterial small subunit ribosomal RNA", at positions 8 to 500 of the family's 1533-position model. The record is from RNAcentral.